Molecule: unclassified non-coding RNA, 385 nt
Filed under: Setaria digitata
Lineage: Eukaryota; Metazoa; Nematoda; Chromadorea; Rhabditida; Setariidae
Source: RNAcentral
UAAGCAACGUUGGGCCUGGUUAGUACUUGGAUCGGAGACGGCCUGGGAAUCCCAGGUGUUGUAGACAUUUUUGCUCUUUGCAGUAACACAAAACAACUCAUUUCUCACAGCGCAAAUGUAAUAAUUGAGAGAGGGAGAUUUUUCCAACGGUUUAAUUACCCAAGUUUGAGGUAAUUGAAUGUUUCAGCCCAGAGUUUCGGCUCAUGUGGCUUGAAAAUAAAUUUUGGAACGUCCUGUGCUAAACGGGACAAAAAAAGAAAAAGGUGUAUAUUACAUACAUGUACAGAUCUAUCUAAUGCGAGAAAAAUUUACUCUAGAUGAGAGAAAGAGUAUUGCUGUCUACGACCAUACCACGUUGAAAGCACGACAUCUCGUCCGAUCUGUC